GCAGCCGAGCUUUAUGCCCGGCCCACAGACUAAGCGUCGGUGGAUGCUAGUCCCCGGGGACCUGCAUUUCAGACAUAGUCGGUCCCCGAUUGAUAAUCCCGGGGAACCAGCGUUCCGUAGGUGAACCUGCGGAAGGAUCAUU
RNAcentral lists this ribosomal RNA (142 nucleotides) under Coenogonium luteum. RNAcentral's name for it is "partial 18S ribosomal RNA". The record is from RNAcentral. Lineage: Eukaryota; Fungi; Ascomycota; Lecanoromycetes; Ostropales; Coenogoniaceae.